AACGACUCUCGACAACGGAUAUCUCGCGUCUCGCAUCGAUGAAGAACGUAGCGAAAUGCGAUACUUGGUGUGAAUUGCAGAAUCCCGUGAACCAUCGAGUCUUUGAACGCAAGUUGCGCCCGAAGCCAUUAGGCCGAGGGCACGUCUGCCUGGGCGUCACG
Molecule: ribosomal RNA, 161 nt
Filed under: Panax ginseng (ginseng)
Lineage: Eukaryota; Viridiplantae; Streptophyta; Magnoliopsida; Apiales; Araliaceae
Description: 5.8S ribosomal RNA
Rfam family: 5.8S ribosomal RNA
About the family: 5.8S ribosomal RNA (5.8S rRNA) is a component of the large subunit of the eukaryotic ribosome. It is transcribed by RNA polymerase I as part of the 45S precursor that also contains 18S and 28S rRNA.
Source: RNAcentral